GACGAACGCUGGCGGCGUGCUUAACACAUGCAAGUCGAACGGAAAGGCCCUGCUUUUGUGGGGUGCUCGAGUGGCGAACGGGUGAGUAACACGUGAGUAACCUGCCCUUGACUUUGGGAUAACUUCAGGAAACUGGGGCUAAUACCGGAUAGGAGCUCCUGCUGCAUGGUGGGGGUUGGAAAGUUUCGGCGGUUGGGGAUGGACUCGCGGCUUAUCAGCUUGUUGGUGGGGUAGUGGCUUACCAAGGCUUUGACGGGUAGCCGGCCUGAGAGGGUGACCGGGCAACAUGGGGGUGCGGGAGGGCUGAGAGGGCUACGGUGGGCAGUAGGCGGGAAGCGGAAGCAGCGGGCGGACGACGGAUGCGGUGACGUUGCGUGCGGGAUUGCCGCGUUCCGGGGGUGAACCGAUUAAAGCUGAGACCAAGGCUGAGGGACGGUAACGGGUAGAGAAGGACCGGCUAACUAGGUG
RNAcentral lists this ribosomal RNA (468 nucleotides) under uncultured bacterium. Its description in RNAcentral is "partial 16S ribosomal RNA". It matches the Rfam family "Bacterial small subunit ribosomal RNA", at positions 28 to 507 of the family's 1533-position model. The record is from RNAcentral.